This 160-nucleotide ribosomal RNA is filed under the name uncultured bacterium. Its description in RNAcentral is "partial 16S ribosomal RNA". It matches the Rfam family "Bacterial small subunit ribosomal RNA", at positions 355 to 509 of the family's 1533-position model. The record is from RNAcentral.
UAGGGAAUUUUCGUCAAUGGGCGCAAGCCUGAACGAGCGAUGCCGCGUGAGUGAAGAAGGCCUUCGGUCGUAAAGCUCUGUUGCGGGGGAAAAAGGCAGCAUCAGGAAAUGGGUGCUGACUGAUGGUGCCCCGCCAGAAAGUCACGGCUAACUACGUGCC